GGACUAUCGGAACAAUAGAGCUGAACUUUUUGAUGGCAUUGAAGAAGGUGGAAUCAGAGCCUCCUACUCGACUAGUGAAAUAGAUGAACUUGACAAUGAUCAUGCUGUUGAUGGGCUGCAAGAUAGGGUGAAUAUCCUUAAGAGAUUGACAGGUGACAUACAUGAAGAGGUUGAGACUCAUAAUCGUGUACUGGAUAGAAUGGGCAGUGAAAUGGACGCAUCAAGAGGAAUUCUUACAGGAACAAUGGAUCGGUUCAAGACGGUGUUUGAGACUAAAUCGAAUCGCAGAGUGGCUACCCUGGUGGCAUCGUUUGUGGCUCUCUUCUUAUUCAUAUAUUACUUGGCCAAGUAGUUGGCUGUCUUACAGAGUACUCUGCUUGUAUAUCUACUUAAAAUAGGAAGCUUGUAAACUGCUGGACUUUGAUGGGGGUAAGUUUGAGUGUAAA
RNAcentral lists this unclassified non-coding RNA (446 nucleotides) under Hevea brasiliensis (rubber tree). Lineage: Eukaryota; Viridiplantae; Streptophyta; Magnoliopsida; Malpighiales; Euphorbiaceae. The record is from RNAcentral.